CUUUAUCAAAUGAGAAAGCACCGCGCACGGCGGCGCAGGUGCGCGGCGGGUACCUUGGUCUCGGGCGGGCUGGGCACGGUGGCCGGUGGCGGACGGUGGAGGUUCUGUGGUUCGUUCUCCUUUUCGCUGAUCUCCGUCAUAUCGGGUUCAGCAAACGCUCCGUCGGCAAGCGAGUCCCAGAUGGAGACGUCCACAGUGGUGCGGGGGGGUGUGGGGGGGUACUAUGCACGCAGAGGUUUAAACAUCGCCACGGUCCGACGAGGUAGAGCUGCAGUUUGCAACUGUCAAGUCAUCUUUCAUCGCGAUGAUGCGAUAUCCCGCGUGUGUGUGUGUUUGGGGGGGGGGCUUCUUCUUUCUGCUACGGUGUUUUUUUUUGGGGAUGGGGCUGGUGCCGGUCGGUCCGUCCACUUCUCCUCCUCGCCGUCUCGAUCCUCUCGCUGGCAAACACACACGCGCUCCCACAACAACUUUGAUUUUCCCCGUGACGAGCGGCCCGGCUCGUUCUGAUUGGUCCACACGUCUGAGAGCUCGCCAGGUGGGACCUGUCGGGCGCGUCCCGAUUGGCUCGCAGAGGAUGACGUUUGGAGAGAGGCCCGGCGACAGCCUGCAGAGAACACCAGCAGCGAGGCAAUGGUGGCUGAUUCAGCACCACGGACAGCUCCCCGCUGCCUGCCUGCCUGCCUCUGCAUGUGUGACUGUUCAUCAACCCCCCCUCCCUCCAUUAAACGCACCAGACUACGGUUCUUUUUAACCGAGGCACUGCGAAUUGUAUUUGUUGUACAGCGUGUACUGUAUUCCACUAGUGUGAGCUAAAUAUAGA
Molecule: long non-coding RNA, 820 nt
Organism: Gasterosteus aculeatus aculeatus (three-spined stickleback)
Lineage: Eukaryota; Metazoa; Chordata; Actinopteri; Perciformes; Gasterosteidae
Source: Ensembl